UCAGGACGAACGCUGGCGGCGUGCCUAACACAUGCAAGUCGAACGGAACGAAAAGAGCUUGCUCUUGGCGUUUAGUGGCGGACGGGUGAGUAACACGUGAGUAACCUGCCUUUCAGAGGGGAAUAAUGUCUGGAAACGGACACUAAUACCGCAUAAAAUAUUUUAACCGCAUGAUUGAAAUAUCAAAGGAGCAAUCCGCUGAAAGAUGGACUCGCGUCUGAUUAGCCAGUUGGCGGGUAACGGCCCACCAAAGCGACGAUCAGUAGCCGGACUGAGAGGUUGAACGGCCACAUUGGGACUGAGACACGGCCCAGACUCCUACGGGAGGCAGCAGUGGGGGAUAUUGCACAAUGGGCGCAAGCCUGAUGCAGCCAACGCCGCGUGCAGGAAGACGGUCUUCGGAUUGUAAACUGUUGUCCUCUGUGACGAUAAUGACGGUAGCAGAGGAGGAAGCCACGGCUAACUACGUGCCAGCCGCGGC
RNAcentral lists this ribosomal RNA (481 nucleotides) under uncultured bacterium. RNAcentral describes it as "bacterial SSU rRNA". It matches the Rfam family "Bacterial small subunit ribosomal RNA", at positions 24 to 518 of the family's 1533-position model. The record is from RNAcentral.